GCCUUUGUGGUGUAAUGGUCAGCACACUCGGCGCGUAUUCGAGAGGUCUGAGGUUCGUGUCCCGGCGAGGGCA
Molecule: transfer RNA, 73 nt
Filed under: Stegodyphus mimosarum
Lineage: Eukaryota; Metazoa; Arthropoda; Arachnida; Araneae; Eresidae
Rfam family: tRNA
About the family: Transfer RNA (tRNA) molecules are approximately 80 nucleotides in length. Their secondary structure includes four short double-helical elements and three loops (D, anti-codon, and T loops).
Source: Rfam by way of RNAcentral